RNAcentral lists this ribosomal RNA (433 nucleotides) under uncultured bacterium. RNAcentral describes it as "partial 16S ribosomal RNA". It matches the Rfam family "Bacterial small subunit ribosomal RNA", at positions 29 to 507 of the family's 1533-position model. The record is from RNAcentral.
AACGAACGCUGGCGGCAUGCCUAACACAUGCGAGUCGAACGAGACCUUCGGGUCUAGUGGCGCACGGGUGCGUAACGCGUGGGAACCUGCCCUUAGGUUCGGAAUAACUCCCCGAAAGGGGUGCUAAUACCGGAUAAUGUCUUCGGACCAAAGAUUUAUCGCCUUUGGAUGGGCCCGCGUUGGAUUAGCUAGUUGGUAGGGUAAAAGCCUACCAAGGCGACGAUCCAUAGCUGGUCUGAGAGGAUGAUCAGCCACACUGGGACUGAGACACGGCCCAGACUCCUACGGGAGGCAGCAGUGGGGAAUAUUGGACAAUGGGCGAAAGCCUGAUCCAGCAAUGCCGCGUGAGUGAUGAAGGCCUUAGGGUUGUAAAGCUCUUUUACCCGGGAUGAUAAUGACAGUGCCGGGAGAAUAAGCUCCGGCUAACUCCGUG